RNAcentral lists this ribosomal RNA (253 nucleotides) under uncultured bacterium. Its description in RNAcentral is "partial 16S ribosomal RNA". It matches the Rfam family "Bacterial small subunit ribosomal RNA", at positions 524 to 776 of the family's 1533-position model. The record is from RNAcentral.
UACGUAGGGUGCAAGCGUUGUUCGGAAUCAUUGGGCGUAAAGCGCGUGUAGGCGGUUAGUUAAGUUGGAUGUGAAAUCCCUAGGCUCAACCAAGGAAGUGCAUUCAAAACUAAUUAGCUAGAAGAUGGUAGAGGAAGGUGGAAUUCCAAGUGUAGAGGUGAAAUUCGUAGAUAUUUGGAGGAAUACCUGUGGCGAAGGCGGCCUUCUGGGCCAUUCUUGACGCUGAGACGCGAAAGCGUGGGUAGCAAACAGG